AGGCUUUGAUCCUGGCUCAGGAUGAACGCUGGCGGCGUGCCUAACACAUGCAAGUCGAGCGAUUCUCUUUUGAGAAGAGCGGCGGACGGGUGAGUAACGCGUGGGUAACCUGCCCUGUACACACGGAUAACAUACCGAAAGGUAUGCUAAUACGGGAUAACAUAUUUUGAUGGCAUCAUCGAAAUAUCAAAGCUCCGGCGGUACAGGAUGGACCCGCGUCUGAUUAGCUAGUUGGUGAGGUAAUGGCUCACCAAGGCGACGAUCAGUAGCCGACCUGAGAGGGUGAUCGGCCACAUUGGAACUGAGACACGGUCCAAACUCCUACGGGAGGCAGCAGUGGGGAAUAUUGCACAAUGGGCGAAAGCCUGAUGCAGCAACGCCGCGUGAGCGAUGAAGGCCUUCGGGUCGUAAAGCUCUGUCCUCAAGGAAGAUAAUGACGGUACUUGAGGAGGAAGCCCCGGCGUA
Molecule: ribosomal RNA, 465 nt
Filed under: uncultured Peptostreptococcaceae bacterium
Lineage: Bacteria; Bacillati; Bacillota; Clostridia; Peptostreptococcales; Peptostreptococcaceae
Description: bacterial SSU rRNA
Rfam family: Bacterial small subunit ribosomal RNA
Source: RNAcentral